This 588-nucleotide long non-coding RNA is filed under the name Nicotiana benthamiana. RNAcentral's name for it is "long non-coding RNA (NBEN_LNC030888)". The record is from RNAcentral. Lineage: Eukaryota; Viridiplantae; Streptophyta; Magnoliopsida; Solanales; Solanaceae.
UGACUACACAUCAAAAUCAGAAUUCACCGCUUUGUCUUUUUUUCUACUACUAUUACUACUCUCUAUUUCUCUACACUACUACUGCGGCAUUCUACAUCUGUACUUCCUGAUGUCUGAACUUCUAAGCACUUGGGGAGUUUUCCUUGAGUCUGUUCCUGGCUGUUUGUUUGUUGUUACUGUUCUGUUAUUCUAGAAUUUAUAAUUGGUAUGUUCUUCUAUGUUAAAUAGCAUCGUUGUUCAACUUCUCUGGUUCUACCCCUCUUUCGUUGUGUGUUUAUUUAUGCUUUCUUGCACUAUGUAAUUACUUUCGAGCAUACUAUGUCUCUUAUGUUAUGUUUAAUCCCUUUCCCUCUAUUCCCUUUGUAUGUGAGUAUUGUCCUGGGUCAUAGCAGCGCUAUGAAUUGCUGUUUCUAAUCCAGAACUAGACUUUUCAUAGUCUUUACUCGAUUUCUUUCCAAUUCCCUUUCCCCUGAAUGAGCUGAGCUCUAAUUGGUGUCCUUAUCACCAUUCAGACCUGAGUUUGACUCUAUAAUAGUCUGCUCUUAUUCGUUUGAAUCCGAGCAAGAGGUUAGGAUUGUGCCAGUCUAU